This 1356-nucleotide ribosomal RNA is filed under the name metagenome. RNAcentral's name for it is "bacterial SSU rRNA". It matches the Rfam family "Bacterial small subunit ribosomal RNA". The record is from RNAcentral.
GGUGGGAGCGGCGAACGGGUGAGUAAUACGUUGGAAUCUGCCCCGAACUCAGGGAUAACUCGCAGAAAUGCGAGCUAAUACCGGAUAGUCCCGAAAGGGUAAAGAUUUUCGGUUCGGGAGGAGCCUGCGGCCUAUCAGCUAGUUGGUGAGGUAAUGGCUCACCAAGGCUAUGACGGGUAGCUGGUCUGAGAGGAUGACCAGUCACAAUGGGACUGAGACACGGCCCAUACUCCUACGGGAGGCAGCAGUAAAGAAUCUUUCGCAAUGGGGGAAACCCUGACGAAGCAAUACCGCGUGGGCGAAGAAGGCCGAAAGGUCGUAAAGCCCUUUUCUGAGGGAAUAAUUCUGAAGGUACCUCAGGAAUAAGCACCGGCUAACUCCGUGCCAGCAGCCGCGGUAAUACGGAGGGUGCAAGCGUUACCCGGAAUCAUUGGGCGUAAAGCGUCUGUAGGCGGUUUAUUAAGUUAAGUAUUAAAUCUUGAAGCCUAACUUCAAGGCCGUACUUAAAACUGAUAUACUAGAGUCUUUUAGAGGUGCGUGGAAUUCUGUGUGUAGGGGUAAAAUCCGUAGAUACACAGAGGAACACCGAAAGCGAAGGCAGCGCACUGGAAAAGUACUGACGCUGAGAGACUAAAGCGCGGGGAGCGAACGGGAUUAGAUACCCCGGUAGUCCGCGCCCUAAACUAUGGAUACUAGGUGUUGGCCCUGCUCGACGGGGCCAGUGCCGAAGCAAACGCAUUAAGUAUCCCGCCUGGGAAGUACGGUCGCAAGAUAAAAACUCAAAGGAAUAGACGGGGACCCACACAAGCGGUGGAGCAUCUGGCUCAAUUCGAUACUGAGCGAGGAACCUUACCUAGGUUUGAAAUCUCUGGAAUUCUCUGGAAACAGGGAAGUGCCUUCGGGAACCAGAAGACAGGUGUUGCAUGGCUGUCGUCAGCUCGUGCCUUGAGGUGUUCGGUUAAGUCCGUAAACGAGCGCAACCCAUGUCAUGUGUUGUAUAUUUCACAUGAGACUGCCGAUUCAAUGUCGGAGGAAGGUAUGGAUGACGUCAAGUCCGCAUGACCCUUAUACCUAGGGCUGCACAGGUGCUACAAUGGCCGAUACAAUGGGUAGCAAUGUCGUAAGACAAAGCCAAUCCUUAAAGUCGGCCCUAGUUCGGAUUGAGGGCUGCAAUUCGCCCUCAUGAAGCCGGAAUCGCUAGUAAACGCGGAUCAGCAAUGGCGCGUUGAAUAUGUUCCUGGGUCUUGUACUCACCGCCCGUCAUACUAUGAAAGGUAGAAGCACCCGAAGUGCCCUUAAACGCAAGUUGGGGCCCUAAGGUGAAGCUACUGAUUGGAGUAAAGUCGUAACAAGGUA